RNAcentral lists this transfer RNA (76 nucleotides) under Podarcis lilfordi (Lilford's wall lizard). RNAcentral describes it as "tRNA.Lys". The stretch from base 10 to 69 matches the Rfam family "tRNA", at positions 7 to 64 of the family's 71-position model. Rfam says of the family: Transfer RNA (tRNA) molecules are approximately 80 nucleotides in length. Their secondary structure includes four short double-helical elements and three loops (D, anti-codon, and T loops). The record is from RNAcentral. Lineage: Eukaryota; Metazoa; Chordata; Lepidosauria; Squamata; Lacertidae.
GCUUCUGGGGUAGCUCAGUCAGUAGAACAUGAGACUCUUGAUCUCAGGGUCGUGGGUUCGAGCCCCACCUUGGGCA